GGUCAAGUGAAGAAGCGCAUACGGUGGAUGCCUUGGCAGUCAGAGGCGAUGAAAGACGUGGUAGCCUGCGAAAAGCUUCGGGGAGUCGGCAAACAGACUGUGAUCCGGAGAUGUCUGAAUGGGGGAACCCAGCCAUCAUAAGAUGGUUAUCUUGUACUGAAUACAUAGGUGCAAGAGGCGAACCAGGGGAACUGAAACAUCUAAGUACCCUGAGGAAAAGAAAUCAACCGAGAUUCCCUUAGUAGUGGCGAGCGAACGGGGACUAGCCCUUAAGUGGCUUUGAGAUUAGCGGAACGCUCUGGAAAGGGCGGCCAUAGUGGGUGAUAGCCCUGUACGCGAAAAUCUCUUAGUCAUGAAAUCGAGUAGGACGGAGCACGAGAAACUUUGUCUGAAUAUGGGGGGACCAUCCUCCAAGGCUAAAUACUACUGACUGACCGAUAGUGAACUAGUACCGUGAGGGAAAGGCGAAAAGAACCCCGGAGAGGGGAGUGAAAUAGAUCCUGAAACCGUAUGCGUACAAGCAGUGGGAGCCCACUUUGUUGGGUGACUGCGUACCUUUUGUAUAAUGGGUCAGCGACUUAUUUUCAGUGGCGAGCUUAACCGAAUAGGGGAGGCGUAGCGAAAGCGAGUCUUAAUAGGGCGUCUAGUCGCUGGGAAUAGACCCGAAACCGGGCGAUCUAUCCAUGGGCAGGUUGAAGGUUGGGUACACUAACUGGAGGACCGAACCGACUACCGUUGAAAAGUUAGCGGAUGACCUGUGGAUCGGAGUGAAAGGCUAAUCAAGCUCGGAGAUAGCUGGUUCUCCUCGAAAGCUAUUUAGGUAGCGCCUCAUGUAUCACUGUAGGGGGUAGAGCACUGUUUCGGCUAGGGGGUCAUCCCGACUUACCAAACCGAUGCAAACUCCGAAUACCUACAAGUGCCGAGCAUGGGAGACACACGGCGGGUGCUAACGUCCGUCGUGAAAAGGGAAACAACCCAGACCGUCAGCUAAGGUCCCAAAGUUAUGGUUAAGUGGGAAACGAUGUGGGAAGGCUUAGACAGCUAGGAGGUUGGCUUAGAAGCAGCCACCCUUUAAAGAAAGCGUAAUAGCUCACUAGUCGAGUCGGCCUGCGCGGAAGAUGUAACGGGGCUCAAACCAUACACCGAAGCUACGGGUAUCACUUAGGUGAUGCGGUAGAGGAGCGUUCUGUAAGCCUGUGAAGGUGAGUUGAGAAGCUUGCUGGAGGUAUCAGAAGUGCGAAUGCUGACAUGAGUAACGACAAUGGGUGUGAAAAACACCCACGCCGAAAGACCAAGGUUUCCUGCGCAACGUUAAUCGACGCAGGGUUAGUCGGUCCCUAAGGCGAGGCUGAAAAGCGUAGUCGAUGGAAAACAGGUUAAUAUUCCUGUACUUCUGGUUAUUGCGAUGGAGGGACGGAGAAGGCUAGGCCAGCUUGGCGUUGGUUGUCCAAGUUUAAGGUGGUAGGCUGGAAUCUUAGGUAAAUCCGGGAUUCUAAGGCCGAGAGCUGAUGACGAGUUACCCUUUGGGUGACGAAGUGGUUGAUGCCAUGCUUCCAAGAAAAGCUUCUAAGCUUCAGGUAACCAGGAACCGUACCCCAAACCGACACAGGUGGUUGGGUAGAGAAUACCAAGGCGCUUGAGAGAACUCGGGUGAAGGAACUAGGCAAAAUGGCACCGUAACUUCGGGAGAAGGUGCGCCGGUGAGGGUGAAGCACUUGCUGCGUAAGCCCACGCCGGUCGAAGAUACCAGGCCGCUGCGACUGUUUAUUAAAAACACAGCACUCUGCAAACACGAAAGUGGACGUAUAGGGUGUGACGCCUGCCCGGUGCCGGAAGGUUAAUUGAUGGGGUUAGCUAACGCGAAGCUCUUGAUCGAAGCCCCGGUAAACGGCGGCCGUAACUAUAACGGUCCUAAGGUAGCGAAAUUCCUUGUCGGGUAAGUUCCGACCUGCACGAAUGGCGUAACGAUGGCGGCGCUGUCUCCACCCGAGACUCAGUGAAAUUGAAAUCGCUGUGAAGAUGCAGUGUAUCCGCGGCUAGACGGAAAGACCCCGUGAACCUUUACUAUAGCUUUGCACUGGACUUUGAAUUUGCUUGUGUAGGAUAGGUGGGAGGCUUUGAAGCGUGGACGCCAGUUCGCGUGGAGCCAACCUUGAAAUACCACCCUGGCAACUUUGAGGUUCUAACUCAGGUCCGUUAUCCGGAUCGAGGACAGUGUAUGGUGGGUAGUUUGACUGGGGCGGUCUCCUCCUAAAGAGUAACGGAGGAGUACGAAGGUGCGCUCAGACCGGUCGGAAAUCGGUCGUAGAGUAUAAAGGCAAAAGCGCGCUUGACUGCGAGACAGACACGUCGAGCAGGUACGAAAGUAGGUCUUAGUGAUCCGGUGGUUCUGUAUGGAAGGGCCAUCGCUCAACGGAUAAAAGGUACUCCGGGGAUAACAGGCUGAUACCGCCCAAGAGUUCAUAUCGACGGCGGUGUUUGGCACCUCGAUGUCGGCUCAUCACAUCCUGGGGCUGAAGCCGGUCCCAAGGGUAUGGCUGUUCGCCAUUUAAAGUGGUACGCGAGCUGGGUUUAGAACGUCGUGAGACAGUUCGGUCCCUAUCUGCCGUGGACGUUUGAGAUUUGAGAGGGGCUGCUCCUAGUACGAGAGGACCGGAGUGGACGAACCUCUGGUGUUCCGGUUGUCACGCCAGUGGCAUUGCCGGGUAGCUAUGUUCGGAAAAGAUAACCGCUGAAAGCAUCUAAGCGGGAAACUUGCCUCAAGAUGAGAUCUCACUGGGACCUUGAGUCCCCUGAAGGGCCGUCGAAGACUACGACGUUGAUAGGUGGGGUGUGUAAGCGCUGUGAGGCGUUGAGCUAACCCAUACUAAUUGCCCGUGAGGCUUGACCAU
Molecule: ribosomal RNA, 2891 nt
Filed under: Pseudomonas hefeiensis
Lineage: Bacteria; Pseudomonadati; Pseudomonadota; Gammaproteobacteria; Pseudomonadales; Pseudomonadaceae
Description: Pseudomonas sp. FP205 23S ribosomal RNA
Rfam family: Bacterial large subunit ribosomal RNA
Source: RNAcentral